GCUAAACGCGAAGAACCUUACCUGGUCUUGACAUAGUAAGAACUUUCCAGAGAUGGAUUGGUGCCUUCGGGAACUUACAUACAGGUGCUGCAUGGCUGUCGUCAGCUCGUGUCGUGAGAUGUUGGGUUAAGUCCCGUAACGAGCGCAACCCUUGUCCUUAGUUGCCAUCAUUAAGUUGGGAACUCUAAGGAGACCGCCGGUGACAAACCGGAGGAAGGUGGGGAUGACGUCAAGUCAUCAUGGCCUUUAUGGCCAGGGCUACACACGUGCUACAAUGGCAGGUACAGAGGGAGGCCAACCGGCGACGGGGAGCUAAUCCCAGAAAGCCUGUCUUAGUCCGGAUUGCAGUCUGCAACUCGACUGCAUGAAGUUGGAAUCGCUAGUAAUCGCAGAUCAGCAUUGCUGCGGUGAAUACGUUCCCGGGUCUUGUACACACCG
This 438-nucleotide ribosomal RNA is filed under the name uncultured bacterium. RNAcentral describes it as "bacterial SSU rRNA". It matches the Rfam family "Bacterial small subunit ribosomal RNA", at positions 954 to 1392 of the family's 1533-position model. The record is from RNAcentral.